This 484-nucleotide ribosomal RNA is filed under the name uncultured bacterium. Its description in RNAcentral is "partial 16S ribosomal RNA". It matches the Rfam family "Bacterial small subunit ribosomal RNA", at positions 30 to 507 of the family's 1533-position model. The record is from RNAcentral.
AUUGAACGCUGGCGGCAGGCCUAACACAUGCAAGUCGAGCGGAUGAAGGGAGCUUGCUCCUGGAUUCAGCGGCGGACGGGUGAGUAAUGCCUAGGAAUCUGCCUGGUAGUGGGGGAUAACGUCCGGAAACGGGCGCUAAUACCGCAUACGUCCUGAGGUAGAAAGUGGGGGAUCUUCGGACCUCACGCUAUCAGAUGAGCCUAGGUCGGAUUAGCUAGUUGGUGGGGUAAAGGCCUACCAAGGCGACGAUCCGUAACUGGUCUGAGAGGAUGAUCAGUCACACUGGAACUGAGACACGGUCCAGACUCCUACGGGAGGCAGCAGUGGGGAAUAUUGGACAAUGGGUGAAAGCCUGAUCCAGCCAUGCCGCGUGUGUGAAGAAGGUCUUCGGAUUGUAAAGCACUUUAAGUUGGGAGGAAGGGCAGUAAGUUAAUACCUUGCUGUUUUGACGUUACCAACAGAAUAAGCACCGGCUAACUUCGUG